Molecule: ribosomal RNA, 484 nt
Filed under: uncultured bacterium
Lineage: Bacteria
Description: partial 16S ribosomal RNA
Rfam family: Bacterial small subunit ribosomal RNA
Source: RNAcentral
AGUGAACGCUGGCGGCGUGCUUAACACAUGCAAGUCGAACGAGAACGGAUUAUAGCUUGCUAUAAUUGUCAGCUAAGUGGCGCACGGGUGAGUAAUGUAUAGGUAAUAUGCCUCUUACUAAGGGAUAACAAAUGGAAACGUUUGCUAAUACCUUAUACUCCUUAUUAACAUAAGUUAAUAAGGGAAAGAUUUAUUGGUAAGAGAUUAGCCUGUAUUGUAUCAGUUAGUUGGUGGGGUAAUGGCUUACCAAGACUAUGACACAUAACUGGUUUGAGAGGAUGAUCAGUCACACUAGAACUGAGACACGGUCCAGAAUCCUACGGGAGGCAGCAGUGGGGAAUAUUGCACAAUGGACGAAAGUCUGAUGCAGCAACGCCGCGUGGAGGAUGACACAUUUCGGUGCGUAAACACCUUUUAUAUGAGAAGAUAAUGACGGUAUUAUAUGAAUAAGCACCGGCUAACUCCGUGCCAGCCGCCGCUGUAA